AACGAGGUGAAGCGGGAUCGGAAGGAAGCGAGUCGGGUGGAGCGUUACACAGCUCAAAGGACCGGAGUGAAGUAGGGUCAGAGGGCAAGGAGCCGGGGUCAGGAGAAAUUAUCGCCGUGUAAAGACGGAAAACCAGGAAGGGUCCGUCCUGCAUGCCCACCGCUGUGAUCAGACUCCACACUUCGUUUGUACAACACGGGGAGCCAUCGCUUUCAUCAACGGCAGGGGCAUCCUGCAAAUCUGGGAAGUCAUUUUCCUUCUGGGACUGCGACGAGUUGGUUUGGACAUGCUGGAUGCCCUAGUUGCUAGUCAUGUGAUAUUUAGGAUGAAUUUCCCGCACACAACACUGAGAUGAUUCUUUAUGGCAAUGCUAAUAACUCCAUAAGCUUGAAUUAGUCAGAGUGUCCAGCAGUGUGAUUAAGACCAAGCUAUUCUAUUAUUUACCAUGAUAAAGAGUAAGAGUGAUUGUAGACUGAGCUAAGAUAACAUACAAAUGGGUAAUAUGUGGCUGCCUGAAAACAUUAUAUUGUGCAAAAAACUAGAACUGUUUAAAAAAAGUAAAUACAUUUUUUUUUUUAUGGAUUCUAUGUUUUUGAGGACUUGGCUUUGGCUUGCGUCCUGGGCUGAGUGGUGCCAGCCGGCAGCCGGCCCCGGCAUACAGGACUUAUAAAGCUGAGUAACUCUGUACUAGGGUGAUAUUUGUCAUCUUAGUACUACUUCUGUGUACCGUACAAAAUGCUCUGUUCAUACAAACCUAAUUAUAUCUGUGUCUUCUUAUCUAUCCAUCUUAAACGGCUGUUUAUUCAUAGUAUUUAUAUCAUUAGAAGUAUCACCGGGAUUAUAUAAAUGAGGAAAAAUAGUUUCAUUUGCUUUUCUUCUUAAUACUCAAAGUAAAUGCGAUUAACAAUGAUAAAUGCCUUCAAGCCCACGAUUAUAUUAAGUCCGUAUCAUGAGAGUCUAGUAAAUUGAGCACCAUACUGACUAGAACAUAAUGGACGUCUGAAAAGAUAAUCCUUUAAAUACAGGUGAUGACCGCUUAUUACAAAGUAACAUCAAAGCGAAACUGACAAUUUCCACCUGAAACCAAUUUUU
Spea bombifrons (plains spadefoot toad) is the source of this 1092-nucleotide long non-coding RNA. RefSeq lists it as uncharacterized. Lineage: Eukaryota; Metazoa; Chordata; Amphibia; Anura; Pelobatidae. The record is from RefSeq and is a predicted model, not a curated record. The transcript is spliced from 3 exons.